UGGAGAGAUCUCUCUGAGCUAGACUCUUCAGUGGAGGAAAUGUUACAACUCAUGGACAGUGGCAUUACCAUCUGCCUUAGGAACGGAGCAGCCUCUGUCUUCAAGAAAAAAGAAUGCAGCACACAAGGAGAAGAAAACAAGCAAGACAGGUUGUAGGCUCAUCAGCAAAGAAUGAGAGGAAUUUUUCCAUAUCUCUUCCAACAAAGAAGCCUAGGCAUUGUGUUCUGAAACCUGGAUUUCUUAACCUCUGGGAAGAAUGAAAUGGUCUUUAUUUAUAAAGGUCUAAAUCCCAAGUGGAAACUUAAAGGACUGAGCUUCUGGAUUUUAUUUGGCCUGAAAAAUGUUUUAAGAGAAUGUGAAUUAGAUGCUUGUGUUUAAAAAACAGAAGUUUUCAUAUAAAAACUGAAAUUUCCAGUACCUCUUUAAAAAUCAGAAGAUUUGGUAACAUUCAGCCUAACUUCCCUGUGACAACAGGCAGUUGGGGAUGAGCUGGAGCUCCAACUCAAGACAAGAAUGUUCUUUCCAGUUUGCCACAGUACCUAAGAUGCCUGAAUGUCUUCUAUGGUACCAACAUCCUUAAAGAAUAU
This 587-nucleotide small RNA is filed under the name Pan troglodytes (chimpanzee). Its description in RNAcentral is "processed transcript". The record is from RNAcentral. Lineage: Eukaryota; Metazoa; Chordata; Mammalia; Primates; Hominidae.